CCCUGUGUGGCACACACGGUUAAUGCGCUUGGCUGCUAACCAAGAAGUUGGAGGUUCCAGUCCAUCCAGAGGCA
Molecule: transfer RNA, 74 nt
Filed under: Loxodonta africana (African savanna elephant)
Lineage: Eukaryota; Metazoa; Chordata; Mammalia; Proboscidea; Elephantidae
Rfam family: tRNA
About the family: Transfer RNA (tRNA) molecules are approximately 80 nucleotides in length. Their secondary structure includes four short double-helical elements and three loops (D, anti-codon, and T loops). Further hydrogen bonds mediate the characteristic L-shaped molecular structure. tRNAs have two regions of fundamental functional importance: the anti-codon, which is responsible for specific mRNA codon recognition, and the 3' end, to which the tRNAs corresponding amino acid is attached (by aminoacyl-tRNA synthetases). tRNAs cope with the degeneracy of the genetic code in two manners: having more than one tRNA (with a specific anti-codon) for a particular amino acid; and 'wobble' base-pairing, i.e. permitting non-standard base-pairing at the 3rd anti-codon position.
Source: Rfam by way of RNAcentral